This 449-nucleotide ribosomal RNA is filed under the name uncultured bacterium. Its description in RNAcentral is "partial 16S ribosomal RNA". It matches the Rfam family "Bacterial small subunit ribosomal RNA", at positions 29 to 523 of the family's 1533-position model. The record is from RNAcentral.
AACGAACGCUGGCGGCAUGCCUAACACAUGCAAGUCGAACGGACCCUUCGGGGUUAGUGGCGCACGGGUGCGUAACGCGUGGGAAUCUGCCCUGGGGUACGGAAUAACGCUUCGAAAGGAGUGCUAAUACCGUAUGAUGUCUUCGGACCAAAGAUUUAUUGCCCUGGGAUGAGCCCGCGUUGGAUUAGCUAGUUGGAGAGGUAAAGGCUCACCAAGGCGACGAUCCAUAGCUGGUCUGAGAGGAUGAUCAGCCACACUGGGACUGAGACACGGCCCAGACUCCUACGGGAGGCAGCAGUGGGGAAUAUUGGACAAUGGGCGAAAGCCUGAUCCAGCAAUGCCGCGUGAGUGAUGAAGGCCUUAGGGUUGUAAAGCUCUUUUACCCGGGAAGAUAAUGACUGUACCGGGAGAAUAAGCCCCGGCUAACUCCGUGCCAGCCGCCGCCGUAA